UACGGGGGGGGCAAGCGUUGUUCGGAAUUACUGGGCGUAAAGGGCGCGUAGGCGGCCUCUUAAGUCGAACGUGAAAUCCCCGGGCUCAACCCGGGAACUGCGUCCGAUACUGGGAGGCUUGAAUCCGGGAGAGGGAUGUGGAAUUCCAGGUGUAGCGGUGAAAUGCGUAGAUAUCUGGAGGAACACCGGUGGCGAAGGCGGCAUCCUGAACCGGUAUUGACGCUGAGGCGCGAAAGCUAGGGGAGCAAACGGG
This 253-nucleotide ribosomal RNA is filed under the name uncultured bacterium. Its description in RNAcentral is "partial 16S ribosomal RNA". It matches the Rfam family "Bacterial small subunit ribosomal RNA", at positions 524 to 776 of the family's 1533-position model. The record is from RNAcentral.